AGCGAACGCUGGCGGCAGGCUUAACACAUGCAAGUCGAGCGGGCCCUUCGGGGUCAGCGGCAGACGGGUGAGUAACACGUGGGAACGUACCCUUCGGUUCGGAAUAACUCAGGGAAACUUGAGCUAAUACCGGAUACGCCCUUUGGGGGAAAGGUUUACUGCCGAAGGAUCGGCCCGCGUCUGAUUAGCUAGUUGGUGGGGUAAUGGCCCACCAAGGCGACGAUCAGUAGCUGGUCUGAGAGGANGAUCAGCCACACUGGCACUGACACACGGGCCAGACUCCUACGGGAGGCAGCAGUCGGGAAUUUUGGGCAAUGGGCGAAAGCCUGACCCAGCAACGCCGCGUGAAGGAUGAAGCUUUUCGG
RNAcentral lists this ribosomal RNA (365 nucleotides) under uncultured bacterium. Its description in RNAcentral is "bacterial SSU rRNA". It matches the Rfam family "Bacterial small subunit ribosomal RNA", at positions 29 to 421 of the family's 1533-position model. The record is from RNAcentral.